RNAcentral lists this long non-coding RNA (557 nucleotides) under Homo sapiens (human). Its description in RNAcentral is "HSALNT0298468". Lineage: Eukaryota; Metazoa; Chordata; Mammalia; Primates; Hominidae. The record is from RNAcentral.
CUGAGCUCAAAGCAGUCCACCCACCUUGGCCUCCCAAAGUGCUGGGAUUACAGGUGUGAGCCAUCUUGCUCAUUCUAGUUUAAACUUUUGAGUGGUUUGUGUCUCCUGAUUGGACUCCUACAAAUACAGAAUUGAUGCUAGGAAGGGUACCAGGAGAUAGACGCACACAGAUGGGAUUUGGGAAUAGGUUUGGUUAUCCAAGGAGCAGUGCUGAGCUCCUUGCUAAUGGGAUAUGGGAGGCUGGUGAUUUCCAGAAAGUGACCUCACAAUGACUCAAGCUACCACAUACUGUUGAUUGUGAAAUGCCAGUUGAAGCAUAUGUCCUGCGAGCUUAGGGGUGCUACAAGUUGACCACAGCAGCAGUAAAGAUGACUCUGAAGAAUGGCAUGGGAUGGAUCCUUUCGAAUGCAUUUGAGCAGCGGUCUCCAACCACAGGGCCACAGAGCUGGAGCUGGAUCUACCAUGAAAGACUUCUGAAUCCAGGAAGAGAGACUGACUGGGCAACAUGUUAUUCAGGGUCUCCCUCUGUUGUCCAAGGCUGGAGUGUAGUAGUGCUA